Molecule: ribosomal RNA, 253 nt
Filed under: uncultured bacterium
Lineage: Bacteria
Description: partial 16S ribosomal RNA
Rfam family: Bacterial small subunit ribosomal RNA
Source: RNAcentral
GAGUAAUACAUAAGUAACCUGCCCUAGACAGGGGGAUAACUAUUGGAAACGAUAGCUAAGACCGCAUAGGUACGGACACUGCAUGGUGACCGUAUUAAAAGUGCCUCAAAGCACUGGUAGAGGAUGGACUUAUGGCGCAUUAGCUGGUUGGCGGGGUAACGGCCCACCAAGGCGACGAUGCGUAGCCGACCUGAGAGGGUGACCGGCCACACUGGGACUGAGACACGGCCCAGACUCCUAGGGAGGCAGCAUG